This 1523-nucleotide long non-coding RNA is filed under the name Heterocephalus glaber (naked mole-rat). RNAcentral's name for it is "lncRNA (ENSHGLG00100046480.1)". Lineage: Eukaryota; Metazoa; Chordata; Mammalia; Rodentia; Bathyergidae. The record is from RNAcentral.
CCACUUUAGACAGUUACGUUUGUGAGGGUCUUGGCCCAGGAACGCCUGCUGCUCUGAGAGCGUACUGCCUUCUAGAAGUCUGGGGAAUUUCUUCCGUCACCAGACCGACAGGACCUCCGCAGGGAGAUUACUGUCCAGUGAGCGCCAGAGAAAGCCUGCUGACACUAGGGCUUUGGGUGGAGGAGGUAGGGUUCCUGGGAAUUGAAUCCAGGGCCUUCUCUCUGAGCUACGUCCCCACCUCCCCAUUCCCACUUUUUUUAUUUUUUAGACAGAAUCUUGUUAAAUUGCCAAAUUGCCCCAGCUGAAUUCGAACUUCGAUUCUCCCUACCUCACGCUCGGCUGUUUGGUAUGAUUUUUACUUAGUUUAUCAGUAUUUUUUUUCCUAUUUGAAGAGAGUAAUAUCUAGUCUGAUACUACCUAUUAUUGGUAUUGGAACUAGUGGGUUUAAAGGGGUUUUUUAAUUUUGUUUUGUUUUUACCGUGUGUGUGAUACUGAAGCUUGAACUCAGAGCCUCCCAUAUGCUAGGCAAGGGCUGUAACACUACGCUACAUCCAGCCCAUUUUGUUUUCUAGACAGGGUCUUGUUAAGUUACCUAGACUGGCCUUGAAUUUGCAAUCCUCCUACCUGAGCCUCCCAGUGACUGGGAUUACAGCAUGCCAUCCAGCGCCGAGUUUAUAACUGUCCACAACAGUGCUGCCCUGUAAAACUUCUUGCUGUGAUGGAAGUAUUCUACAUGUCUGCCUUAACAGGGUAGCCACUGGCCAUUGGGGGCUCUUGAGCCCUUGAAAUAUGGCUAUUGCUACUGUCUGAAUUUUCAAUUUAAUUUCAAUGUGAAUAGUCACUUUCAGCUGGUGACAACUGCACUGGACACAGGACUGGGAGGAGACCAUUAAGUUUGCUUGGAACCGAGUGAUGCACCAGGUUUAGUGCUAAAACCCUGGAAAUCCUAGGCAAAACGCUGAACUUCAGAAUCCCAUCCAGUUUCUGACAUGCCUGGGGCAAUUUCGAGGGAUACUCUACACUCAGGAGGCUAAGGCAGGAGAAUCACCUCGAGCUCGAGGCCAGCCUGCACUACAUAGCAAAACCCUGUCUCAAGAAAAGAGGAAAAAAGAGGACCUCAUGCAUUGUUAGAAGAGCAGCCACAGAGACACCAUUAUUUCAACUCACCCAGGUAGCAUCACUGAAAAAUGAAUAAGGAGUUUCAUGAAACAACCGUGGUUCUGCAGAAUAAAAAAGUAAAGCACAAGAAAGAAGCUCAUUUUCUUCCUGGUCCUAGGAUUGUCAGACAGCAUGUCUCCGGGCACAUACCCAUUCAGGCGCUGGUCUCAGGGGUCGGCUUUGUUUCUUUUUUCCGAAGCUGAUGAGGCUCCCAUACUGCGAGAGAUUUUAUUUCACAAACAGCCUUUUACUGGGAGGUGUCAAAGAUGGGUCCUGGUCAGCGCACAGGGUCAGAGACUUGCACAUGGGGGCCGCCAACGGGGAGGCUGGGCCCUGUGCGGCACCACAAAUGCCCAAGUUCUCCG